Molecule: ribosomal RNA, 292 nt
Filed under: uncultured Alphaproteobacteria bacterium
Lineage: Bacteria; Pseudomonadati; Pseudomonadota; Alphaproteobacteria
Description: partial 16S ribosomal RNA
Source: RNAcentral
GGACUACCGGGGUUUCUAAUCCUGUUUGCUCCCCACGCUUUCGCGCCUCAGCGUCAGUCUCGGUCCAGAGAGCCGCCUUCGCCACCGGUGUUCUUCCCAAUAUCUACGAAUUUCACCUCUACACUGGGAAUUCCACUCUCCUCUCCCGAACUCCAGCGCCCCAGUCCCAAGCGCAAUUCCCAGGUUGAGCCCGGGGCUUUCACGCCUGACUUGGAGCGCCGCCUACGCGCCCUUUACGCCCAGUAAUUCCGAACAACGCUAGCCCCCUUCGUAUUACCGCGGCUGCUGGCAC